UCCGAGUUGACCCCGGCAGUAUCCCAUGAGUUCCCACCAUUACGUGCUGGCAACAUAGAACGAGGGUUGCGCUCGUUGCGGGACUUAACCCAACAUCUCACGACACGAGCUGACGACAACCAUGCACCACCUGUUCACCAGUGUCCAAAGAGUCCCGUAUUUCUACGGUGUUCUGGUGUAUGUCAAGCCUUGGUAAGGUUCUUCGCGUUGCAUCGAAUUAAUCCGCAUGCUCCGCCGCUUGUGCGGGUCCCCGUCAAUUCCUUUGAGUUUUAGCCUUGCGGCCGUACUCCCCAGGCGGGGAACUUAAUGCGUUAGCUGCGUCACGGAAACCGUGGAAUGGUCCCCACAACUAGUUCCCAACGUUUACGGGGUGGACUAC
RNAcentral lists this unclassified non-coding RNA (379 nucleotides) under uncultured Microbacteriaceae bacterium. Its description in RNAcentral is "contains 16S-23S intergenic spacer region". The record is from RNAcentral. Lineage: Bacteria; Bacillati; Actinomycetota; Actinomycetes; Micrococcales; Microbacteriaceae.